Hyaena hyaena (striped hyena) is the source of this 448-nucleotide long non-coding RNA. RefSeq lists it as uncharacterized. The record is from RefSeq and is a predicted model, not a curated record. NCBI's taxonomy places the organism in Eukaryota, Metazoa, Chordata, Mammalia, Carnivora, Hyaenidae. The transcript has 4 exons.
CAGGCAAAAGAUUUGAAAACUCGCUUCACCAAAGAAGACAUCAGAUGGUAAGGAAACCGGUGAAAACAGCUGCUGGGCGGGAAGAGGCGACACUCUGGAAAGUGCUGUGGCCGACCUCACACAGGGAGACGCCCGUCCCAGGCAGCGCGACUACGUGCACCGUGGCACUGACGCGGGCGAAAUGAGCCCGCACUUGGGUGUUUGCUGGGCUCUGUCACAAUCACUAAAAAGCGGAGAAAACCACAUGUCCUCGGUGGGAACUUGCGGGGCCGGAGUGGCAGAAGGCAGGGGGGCUCGGGGACGUGUUUGGAGCCUGGAGCCUGGUGGUCACGUGCCUGCAAUUUGUCAAAACCCUCAGCUCUGUCGCCGGAAGGCUUUGAGCUUCGUGUUUUCCUCUGUGUAUAGUCACUCUCCGGCUCCACGUCCUAUAAACUCCGUGACAACAGGU